CAGAGAGCCAAGAAAACCCAGG
This 22-nucleotide non-coding RNA is filed under the name Rattus norvegicus (Norway rat). Lineage: Eukaryota; Metazoa; Chordata; Mammalia; Rodentia; Muridae. The record is from RNAcentral.